This 329-nucleotide ribosomal RNA is filed under the name uncultured eukaryote. RNAcentral's name for it is "partial 18S ribosomal RNA". It matches the Rfam family "Eukaryotic small subunit ribosomal RNA", at positions 1470 to 1796 of the family's 1831-position model. The record is from RNAcentral.
CCCUUAGAUGUUCUGGGCCGCACGCGCGCUACGCUGAUGCAUUCAACGAGUCUAAAACCUGCUCUGAUAGGGGUGGGUAAUCUUUUGAAUGUGCAUCGUGAUUGGGAUAGAUGAUUGCAAUUUUUCAUCUUCAACGAGGAAUGCCUAGUAAACGCAAGUCAUCAGCUUGCAUUGAUUACGUCCCUGCCCUUUGUACACACCGCCCGUCGCUCCUACCGAUUGAAUGAUCCGAUGAAUAUCAUGGAUUGAGGAUGUAAGCAGGUUCGCCUGUCUUCAUCUUCGAGAAGUGAAGUAAAUCUUAUCAUUUAGAGGAAGGAGAAGUCGUAACA